Molecule: long non-coding RNA, 4049 nt
Organism: Balaenoptera acutorostrata (minke whale)
Lineage: Eukaryota; Metazoa; Chordata; Mammalia; Artiodactyla; Balaenopteridae
Exons: 7
Source: RefSeq, a predicted model, not a curated record
UCAUAGCUACAUGGAAUCCCACGAAUCCUCCAGGCCAUUUUAUGCAUGAAGAAACAGACUCAGAAUAAAUAAUUUCUGUGGGUGAUACAGACUCCAAGAUCCAGACCAGGGCAAGAACCAGUUCCUCAGAUCCACUGCUACAAGACACGGAAUAAGAGUGGUGAAUUCAUUCAAGAAUUCUAUAUUGAGUAUUUUCUGCUUGGUACUCUAAUAAGGACUGGAGACCCAGUAGAACAAGAUAGAAAUAUCAGGGGAGAUUUCAAGAAGUUUGAGUGAAGCCAAUCUCUACACCAUCUGAGGAUGUCACAGGAGAUCCCAGACCACCCAUCACCGAGUCUCUUUUUUUUUUCCUUCCCAAAUGAAAAGAAAGAGAAAGAAAAGUGAAGAAAUCGAAGCUGGGACUAUCUGAGGGAAGAGCAUUUGGGGCAGAGGGCACAGCAAAUGCCAAGUCCUGGGGAAGGAACCAUCUAGGUGUUUAAAGACCAGUGGGGCUGGAGCAUUGUGAACAAGAGGAAAGCCCUAAGAGAAGAUGUUGAAACCAGAUCACGUAGGACUUUGUAGGCCUUGGAAAGGAGUUUCUAUUGCAAAUGGAACUCCUGGUGGGUUUUAGCCAAGGUGGCAAUAUGAUUUAAGUUUUUAAAACAUCCCUUCAGCUGCUGUGUGAACUGACCACAGUGAUGCAAGGAGGGAGAUCAGGAAACCAGAUCCAGGCCCCAGUGAAGGGCUUGGACCAGAGUGGCAGCAGUGGAGAAGGUAGUAAGCAGCCAGAUUAGGAUAUAUCCUGGAGAUGAAGCCUACAGGACUUGCUGAUGGAUCUGCGAGCACUGGGUUUGCUGAUGGGCUGGAUAUGAGCUGUUGAGGGGAAGGGACCACUCAAGUCUGCAUCCCAGGUUUUUGCUCUGAGCCACUUCCUGCAGCCCCACCUCUGCAGGCUGUCACGUUGCACACGGGCUUCCUGCCUCAGCUGCCUUUGAUGGAAGCCCGGGCCCGGACUGUGGCAGAGACGAUGCUCUGUGUCCACCAAGCCAAUCCAUCAUCCUCCUGGAUACACAGGAUGGCCUCAGUCCCCAGGCCCCUGACAUCUAAGCGGGGCCAUACGUCUCGGUCACUAACUGUGAAGCAGGAGGACUGCCUCCAGCUGCUGGUCUUCUUUCCUCUGAGGGGGAAUGGAAAGCGAAGAGGCAGACACAGCUGUGGCUGGAAGCAGGGCCUGGGGGAGAGCCGGGGUUCAGGUGGCCUCCGGCCAGAAGGCUCUUUUCUCUGUGCACUUCUGCCUGUGGACAAGCCCUUGCUCGGGCCUCCAGACUGCGCCUGUCUUGCUGCACCUCCAUCAAUUAUUCAGUCCUCACAAGUCUGUCUCCUUUCCUAACAUGCUCGAUGCUCUGACAACACAGUUGCGGCAUGUGGGAUCUAGUUCCCUGACCAGGGAUCGAACCCCGGCCCCCUGCAUCGGGAGUGUGCAGUCUUAACCACUGGACCACCAGGGAAGUCCCUCUAACACUGGUUGUUUAGCCUGUCAUCGAUUGUUCAAAUGUGACUCCUGGAGCCGGCAGCUUUAAGGAUCAGGUGGCCAUGAAUGACAGUUCACCGCACGGCCAGCCACCCCGUGCUGCCUUGGUGUGUUUGCACAUCCGCACGUUGCUUCUACCCUGCCAGCUCCUUGCAGCCGUGAAAGUCCUUUUCCUUUAUAAACUACACAGAUGUUUAGAGGAAGCUCUGGGUUAGUUCAGCUGCUCUCUGGGUUCUAUCCCAACUCAGACACGUCCCGUGUUCUAUUACCUAUAGGUUUGGCAUUAUACCGAAGGCAGUUUAGGGGAGGCAUUGUGAGAGGUGACUCCCAGCUUGCCCGUGAUCGAAACCCUGACGAUCAGAGAAGUCCUAGUAACAUGUCCUAAAGUUGAGUCCUAGAAUUUCAUAGAGGGGCAUGCAAAGCCCUGUGCCAGCCCUAAAUGGACCAGAGUUCUAGAUAAAUCCUAAACCAGGACUUCAGGCACAGGGACAAGUCAGGAUUCCAGACACGGGAACUCAGAUCUAAGGAGACCUGGUCUUUGGAACCAAACAGAAAUUCAGGUCAUAGAACUGGUGCCCAAGAGCAACCAGAGUGACCUUCUGCUGAGACCUAAGGGUCAGCUGGGUCCCCUCACAUCUUUCCCUGAUAUGAACGGGCCUGCACACAAGGGGGCAGCUCACCUGUGAAAGGACCACCAGUGGCCCCAGCUGGGAAGAACCAAGCAGGACUUGACUUCCUCCUCCUUCUGGGUCAUCUCACUGCAGUCCAGCCACUGUUCCUUCUCAUUUCUGCACUUAAAACUGAAGACUAACUCAAAAAUAUAUGCACCCCAUGUCUAUUGCAGCAUUAUUUACAAUAGCCAAGAUAUAGAAACAACCUAAGUGUCCAUCAAUGGAUAAGUGGAUAAAGAAAAUGUGGUAUCGGACUUCCCUGGUGGCACAGUGGUUAGGAAUCCGCCUGCCAAUGCAGGGGACACGGGAUCGAGCCCUGGUCCAGGAAGAUCCCCCAUGCCGCGGAGCAACUAAGCCCGUGAGCCACAACUACUGAGCCCACAUGACACAACUACUGAAGCCCACACGCAUAGAGCCCAUGCUCUGCAACAAGAGAAGCCACCGCAAUGAGAAGCCUGCGCACCGCAACCAAGAGUAGCCCCUGCUCGCCGCAACUAGAGAAAGCCUGCAUGCAGCAACGAAGACCCAACGUGGCCUAAAUAAAUAAAUAAAUAAAUAAAUAGAAGAAUGGUACAGAUGAACCAGUUUGCAGGGCAGAAAUAGAGACACAGAUGUAGAGAACAAAUGUAUGGACACCAAGGGGGGAAAGUGGCAGGGGGUGGUGGUGGUGGUGUGAUGAAUUGGGAGAUUGGGAUUGACAUGUGUACACUGAUGUUAUAAAAUUGAUGACUAAUAAGAACCUGCUGUAUAAAAAAUAAAAUAAAAUUUUAAAAAAGACAUAAAAUAUUAAUGAAGUAUUUAACGUAGUUGACAUGGACAUAUACUAGAUUGGUUGAUUUGUGUUUUUUUGUUUUCCCAUGUCUAUUUCAUUCUUAAGUAGUGUGUAAAUAUGUAGCCCAUUUGCAGAGUUCUCUUACAAUAGUAAGAUAGUGAUUGUCAUGAGGCUGCAAUGAAAUGUACCACCACCCCACCCCACCCCUUUGCAAUCUAUAUAAGUGUGUAUCCCUAGAAUGACUAUUGGCAUUGUCAGCUCAACUCUGAAUUGCUUGCCUAGGUGAGGUCUCUGAGAGGCCAGUGUGUCCGCUGAAAGUGGUAGGUUACCAUUUCAGUCACCAAGAUUACAAUUGGUGGUUCAUAUAGGAAAUGAGACCACCAGGAGAUUGACUUCAAGCAGACAGGAGAGGAAAUUACUUUUUCCAGCCCUUAUCCUCUGAGGUUUGAACUUUGAAUUGCUUGCUAGUACUGUGAGAGAAGAAAGGUGACUUCUAUCACGUAAAAGCACGCUUACAGUAUUCCUUCUUGGAACCCAAGCCACAUGGAGAAGCUGUGUGGAGAACAAUCAAGGCCUUCAAUCAACAGCCCCAGCUGAGUUCCCAGCCGACAAGCAGCUCCAACUGCCUGCCCCAGGAGCGAGCCAUCGUGGAUAUUCCAGCCGGGUUGAGCCUUCAGAAGACUGCAGCCCUGCCACAUGGUAUAGAAUUGCACUGUUGGGUCCAGUUAACCCACAUAGAAAUUGUAAGAGGCUUGGGCUUCCCUGGUGGCACAGUGGUUGAGAGUCUGCCUGCCAACGCAGGGGACAUGGGUUCGAGCCCUGGUCUGGGAAGAUCCCACAUGCCGCGGAGCAGCUAGGCAGGCCCGUGAGCCACAAUUACUGAGCCUGCGCGUCUGGAGCCUGUGCUCCGCAACAAGAGAGGCCGCGAUAAUGAGAGGCCCGUGCACCGCGAUGAAGAGUGGCCCCCACUUGCCACAACUAGAGAAAGCCCUCGCACAGAAAUGAAGACCCAACACAGCCAUAAAUAAAUAAAUUAAGAAAGAAAGAAUCCUGGUCAAAAAAGGUGAUGAUUUAAAAAAAAAAGAAAUUGUAAGAG